CUUGAUUUAGAGGAAGUAAAAGUCGUAACAAGGUUUCCGUAGGUGAACCUGCGGAAGGAUCAUUAACACAAAAAACAAUCCCAUAUCCACCCCUUUUUAUAACGAACUAUGAUUUUUCUCUUCCCUUUCUUCAUUGAAAGGGAAAAGAAACCUCAUUUUCUCCUCUUUAUUACCCUCUUAUUUUUACCCCAAACAAACCAUAACAAACAUGCGAUAGACUGAUAUUUAUUUAUCAAAGAUAAUAAUCAAUGAUACAUAAAACAACUCUUAGCAACGGAUAUCUUGGCUCUC
Molecule: unclassified non-coding RNA, 291 nt
Filed under: fungal sp.
Lineage: Eukaryota; Fungi
Description: partial internal transcribed spacer region
Rfam family: Eukaryotic small subunit ribosomal RNA (bases 1-65)
Source: RNAcentral